Molecule: ribosomal RNA, 492 nt
Filed under: uncultured bacterium
Lineage: Bacteria
Description: partial 16S ribosomal RNA
Rfam family: Bacterial small subunit ribosomal RNA
Source: RNAcentral
AGUGAACGCUGGCGGUAGGCCUAACACAUGCAAGUCGAACGGCAGCACAGUAAGAGCUUGCUCUUACGGGUGGCGAGUGGCGGACGGGUGAGGAAUACAUCGGAAUCUACUUUUUCGUGGGGGAUAACGUAGGGAAACUUACGCUAAUACCGCAUACGACCUACGGGUGAAAGCAGGGGAUCUUCGGACCCUGCGCGAUUGAAUGAGCCGAUGUCGGAUUAGCUAGUUGGCGGGGUAAAGGCCCACCAAGGCGACGAUCCGUAGCUGGUCUGAGAGGAUGAUCAGCCACACUGGAACUGAGACACGGUCCAGACUCCUACGGGAGGCAGCAGUGGGGAAUAUUGGACAAUGGGCGCAAGCCUGAUCCAGCCAUACCGCGUGGGUGAAGAAGGCCUUCGGGUUGUAAAGCCCUUUUGUUGGGAAAGAAAAGCAGCAGGUUAAUACCCCGCUGUUCUGACAGUACCCAAAGAAUAAGCACCGGCUAACUUCGUG